Molecule: long non-coding RNA, 1482 nt
Filed under: Dromaius novaehollandiae (emu)
Lineage: Eukaryota; Metazoa; Chordata; Aves; Casuariiformes; Dromaiidae
Description: lncRNA (ENSDNVG00000012510.1)
Source: RNAcentral
NNNNNNNNNNNNNNNNNNNNCGAGAGCGGCCGGCACCGCGCAACCACCUUUAAUACAAAAUAAAUUAAACCCUCCCGGUCGGUGGUGACACAGGCGGCGGGCGGCUACCGGGGGGCCGGGGUGGCGGGGGGGCGGGCACAGGCGGCGCAGCACAGCCGCUCGUAGUAGGGGUAGACGCACAGGCGGGCGCGCACCACCGCCGCGCAGCUGGGCGACGCGUCCUGGCAGCCGGCGUCUGCGCGAGCCGAGGGGAAACUGAGGCACGGCACGGUGGCGGCGGGCCCAGGCGUCCGGGCAUGGGGGGCCCAGGCGUCCGGGUGGGGGGCCCAGGCGUCCGGGGGCUUACCGAGCUCCGGGGCGCAGGGCUGGCUGUUGCAGGGCUGCUGGCUGGGGGGGCGCAGGUGGGGCGGGCACAGGGUGCUGAGGGUCUUGUUGGGGGUCAGGCAGUGCACCUCGCGGGCCUGCACCCCCCCCAGGCACGAGCGGGAGCACUGCGGGGGGGGGCGGCGCCGUGGGGCAGGGGCACCCCAGCGGCAGGGAUCCGUGGGGCUGGGGGCACCAGGGACCCCAGGGGCAGGGAUCYGUGGGGCUUGGKGGCCCAGGGCACCCCAYGGACAAGGAUCUAUGGGGCUUGGGGACCCCAAGGACAAGGAUCUAUGGGGCUGGGAGGCCCAGGGGGACCCUAUGGACAGGGAUCCAUGGGGCUGGGGGGCCCAGGGGACCCCACGGGCAAGGAUCUAUGGGGCUGGGAGGUGCAGGGGACCCCAUGGACAAGGCUCUGUGGGACUAGGGGGCCCAGGGGACUCUAUGGGCAAGGAUCUAUGGGGCUGGGGGACCCCACAGGCAAGGACCUAUGGGGCUGGGGGCCCAGGGCACCCCAUGGGCAGGGAUCUAUGGGGCUGGGGGACUCCAUGGGCAGGGAUCUAUGGGGCUGGGGGGCCCAGGGGACCCCAUGGACAAGGAUCUAUGGGGCUGGGGAGCCCAGGUCACCCCAUGGACAAGGAUCUAUGGGGCUUGGGGACCCCCAUGGACAAGGAUCUAUGGGGCUGGGGAGCCCAGGUCACCCCAUGGACAAGGAUCUAUGGGGCUUGGGGACCCCAUGGACAAGGAUCUAUGGGGCUGGGGGGCCCAGGUCACCCCAUGGGCAAGGACCUAUGGGGCUUGGGGACCCCAUGGACAAGGACCUAUGGGGCUGGGGUACCCCAUGGACAAGGAUCUAUGGGGCUGGGGAGCCCAGGUCACCCCAUGGGCAGGGAUCUAUGGGGCUGGGGGGACCAAGGGGACCCUAUGGGCAAGGAUCCAUGGGACUAGGGGACCCAGGUCACCCCAUGGGCAGGGAUCUAUGGGGCUGGGGGACCCCAUGGACAAGGAUCUAUGGGGCUGGGGAGCCCAGGUCACCCCACGGACAAGGAUCUAUGGGGCUGGGGGACCCUAUGGGCAGGGAUCUAUGGGGCUGGGGGGGCCAAGGGGACCCUAUGGGCA